Molecule: ribosomal RNA, 480 nt
Filed under: Zootoca vivipara (common lizard)
Lineage: Eukaryota; Metazoa; Chordata; Lepidosauria; Squamata; Lacertidae
Description: partial 16S ribosomal RNA
Rfam family: Bacterial large subunit ribosomal RNA
Source: RNAcentral
CCCAGUGACUCUUUUAAACGGCCGCGGUAUCCUAACCGUGCAAAGGUAGCAUAAUCACUUGUCUCUUAAAUAGGGACUAGAAUGAAUGGCUAAAUGAGGACUAAUCUGUCUCUUACGGACCAACCAAUGAAAUUAAUCUUUCAGUACAAAAGCUGAAAUAAAAACAUAAGACGAGAAGACCCUGUGGAGCUUCAAACCAAAAACACCCUGCAUGCUCCUCAGGUUUUUAGUUGGGGCGACUUCGGAGCACAAUAAAACCUCCAAAAUCUUUAUCUUUAAGAUUAACAAACCAAAAACUUUAUUAGACCCAGCAAUGUAUAACAUUGUCUGACCACUGAACCAAGUUACCCCAGGGAUAACAGCGCCAUCCCCUCCUAGAGUCCAUAUCAACAAGGGGGUUUACGACCUCGAUGUUGGAUCAGGACACCCCAAUGGUGCAGCCGCCAUUAAAGGUUCGUUUGUUCAACGAUUAAUUAGUCC